RNAcentral lists this long non-coding RNA (726 nucleotides) under Ananas comosus (pineapple). RNAcentral's name for it is "long non-coding RNA (ACOM_LNC029267)". Lineage: Eukaryota; Viridiplantae; Streptophyta; Magnoliopsida; Poales; Bromeliaceae. The record is from RNAcentral.
UCUUGUUGGCAUUCGGUUAAAUUGAAUCGGAUGCAUCCAUGAUCGGGCUCGAUCCGACGGUUGUUAUGUUGUCUAAUUGAAUUAUGAUUAAUCUCGCUUUUAAAUUGAAAAAUUAAUUAAAGAUAAAUUCUAAUCAUAUUAGGAGAACAAUUACUAACCAAUUUGGCCUUAUCGCUUACGCGCCUAUUAGAAUUUUGGAAUCCCUUAUAAAUAUGCGUGCGAUCUCACAUAAAUGAAUAUGAGAAAAGAAAGAGAAUGAACAACAAAACUAAGAGAGAAACGUAGAAAGCACAUCCUCCAUUAACCUAUUAUUCUAGAGGGUCUUGAACGGUGACAUGGAUUGGAGAAUGCAUGCUCGUUUGUACUUCGAUCCACUACGAGUUUGGAGCGAUAGAAGAUUUUUUUAGACGAUCCGAGGACACGUGAAUCAACCUUUACAAUCCGGACUCGUCGCGUUGUAGCGCGAAUCGCUUCCGCAAAAAGGGAACGAUACUUCCGCUGCAUUCUACACAUCUCAUGAGUGGUAUUACCAGAAUUUAAUACACUGAAUUUUCUUAAUUACCUCCGUGUCAUAAAAAAAAUAUAUAUUUUCCAGCGAAAACAGUAGGUUAAAAUAUAGAAAAUUCCUAAUAAAUAUCGGAUUUUUAUACUUAACCUCCUCCUUAAAAAAAAUCUCUAUUUACCCUCUUAAAAUUUAAAAUUGUAACACUUAACUCAACAUUGUUA